GAUGAGUGCUGGAGGAGGAAUGGGAAGAGGGCAAGCUCCAUAGCAACAGCGCGCGGCGCCUUCAGCAGAAAGAGUAAAGGAGGAAGGAAGAGAGAGAGAAAUGUAGAUGUGAGAGAGAAUGAUUGGUUGCCUUCCCCCACCGUGAAUCGGACCUGUGCCCUGUACCAGAAUCAAAUUGGCCGAGAGGACGCACAACCGAGCCACAGCAGCCAAGGCUGUUUUUAUUUUUUAAUGAGACCUUAAUUUGUUCAUAUAUCCCCAUAAUUGAUAAAUCUCUAAAAUGGAAUCACAAUCACAACCAUGAAAAGAGUAAGGAGAAUCUGGAACAUCAUAAAGCAUCUUCAGUUAACUUUGAGAGGUGGGGUAAAGAGAGAUUUCAUUAACAUGCUGUGUUAACACUCUCCACCAUGGUCUAAUUAAAUCAUGAAUAGAAGCCAUUGAAGGGAGCAGUUAAUUCAAUUCUGUUAUUUAUUGUCUAACAUUGUCCUUGACACUAUGGUAGAUGCUUUGCAGAUCUUAGGAACUUUGCUCCAAGCUAGUUUACACUCUUGAAUGUCUAUGAAAAUAAAAGGUCAAAAAUA
Long non-coding RNA from Artibeus jamaicensis (Jamaican fruit-eating bat), 581 nucleotides. RefSeq lists it as uncharacterized. NCBI's taxonomy places the organism in Eukaryota, Metazoa, Chordata, Mammalia, Chiroptera, Phyllostomidae. The transcript is spliced from 2 exons. The record is from RefSeq and is a predicted model, not a curated record.